RNAcentral lists this ribosomal RNA (650 nucleotides) under uncultured bacterium. Its description in RNAcentral is "bacterial SSU rRNA". The stretch from base 1 to 542 matches the Rfam family "Bacterial small subunit ribosomal RNA", at positions 338 to 873 of the family's 1533-position model. The record is from RNAcentral.
CCUACGGGAGCAGCAGUGGGGAAUUUUGGACAAUGGGCGCAAGCCUGAUCCAGCAAUGCCGCGUGCAGGAUGAAGGCCUUCGGGUUGUAAACUGCUUUUGUACGGAACGAAAAAGUCUGCCCUAAUACGGUGGGCCCAUGACGGUACCGUAAGAAUAAGCACCGGCUAACUACGUGCCAGCAGCCGCGGUAAUACGUAGGGUGCGAGCGUUAAUCGGAAUUACUGGGCGUAAAGCGUGCGCAGGCGGUUAUAUAAGACAGAUGUGAAAUCCCCGGGCUCAACCUGGGACCUGCAUUUGUGACUGUAUAGCUAGAGUACGGUAGAGGGGGAUGGAAUUCCGCGUGUAGCAGUGAAAUGCGUAGAUAUGCGGAGGAACACCGAUGGCGAAGGCAAUCCCCUGGACCUGUACUGACGCUCAUGCACGAAAGCGUGGGGAGCAAACAGGAUUAGAUACCCUGGUAGUCCACGCCCUAAACGAUGUCAACUGGUUGUUGGGUCUUCACUGACUCAGUAACGAAGCUAACGCGUGAGUUAGUACCGCCGUCGGGAGGUACGGCCGGCCGAAGGUUAGGUAAACGUACAAAGUAGUAAGUUAGUACGGCGUGAGACGUAGCCGAACGGACGACCGACCGAGGGGAGGGUUAGGGAGG